This 305-nucleotide ribosomal RNA is filed under the name uncultured bacterium. RNAcentral describes it as "bacterial SSU rRNA". It matches the Rfam family "Bacterial small subunit ribosomal RNA", at positions 334 to 653 of the family's 1533-position model. The record is from RNAcentral.
GUAUCCUACGGGGCGCAGCAGUGGGGAAUAUUGCACAAUGGGCGAAAGCCUGAUGCAGCAACGCCGCGUGAAGGAAGAAGGGUUUCGGCUCGUAAACUUCUAUCAACAGGGACGAAAGAAAUGACGGUACCUGAAUAAGAAGCCCCGGCUAACUACGUGCCAGCAGCCGCGGUAAUACGUAGGGGGCAAGCGUUAUCCGGAAUCAUUGGGCGUAAAGAGUUCGUAGGCGGUAUGUUAAGUCUGGUGUUAAAUGCAGAAGCUCAACUUCUGUUCGGCACUGGAUACUGGCAAACUAGAAUGCGGUG